AUUGAACGCUGGCGGCAUGCCUUACACAUGCAAGUCGAACGGCAGCACGGGAGCAAUCCUGGUGGCGAGUGGCGAACGGGUGAGUAAUAUAUCGGAACGUGCCCGGUCGUGGGGAUAACGUAGCGAAAGCUACGCUAAUACCGCAUACGAUCUAUGGAUGAAAGCGGGGGAUCGCAAGACCUCGCGCGAUUGGAGCGGCCGAUAUCAGAUUAGGUAGUUGGUGAGGUAAAGGCUCACCAAAGCCGACGAUCUGUAGCUGGUCUGAGAGGACGACCAGCCACACUGGGACUGAGACACGGCCCAGACUCCUA
This 311-nucleotide ribosomal RNA is filed under the name uncultured bacterium. RNAcentral's name for it is "bacterial SSU rRNA". It matches the Rfam family "Bacterial small subunit ribosomal RNA", at positions 30 to 341 of the family's 1533-position model. The record is from RNAcentral.